CCUACGGGAGGCAGCAGUGGGGAAUAUUGGGCAAUGGGCGCAAGCCUGACCCAGCAACGCCGCGUGAAGGAAGAAGGCUUUCGGGUUGUAAACUUCUUUUUUCAGGGACGAAGCAAGUGACGGUACCUGACGAAUAAGCCACGGCUAACUACGUGCCAGCAGCCGCGGUAAUACGUAGGUGGCAAGCGUUAUCCGGAUUUACUGGGUGUAAAGGGCGUGUAGGCGGGGAAGCAAGUCAGCUGUGAAAACCACGGGCUCAACCUGUGGCCUGCAUUUGAAACUGUUUUUCUUGAGUACUGGAGAGGCAGACGGAAUUCCUAGUGGAGCGGUGAAAUGCGGAGAUAUUAGGAGGAACACCAGUGGCGAAGGCAGUAUGCUGGACAGCAACUGACGCUGAGGCGCGAAAGCGUGGGGAGCAAACAGGAUUAGAUACCCUUGUAGUC
This 443-nucleotide ribosomal RNA is filed under the name uncultured bacterium. RNAcentral describes it as "partial 16S ribosomal RNA". It matches the Rfam family "Bacterial small subunit ribosomal RNA", at positions 338 to 795 of the family's 1533-position model. The record is from RNAcentral.